This 101-nucleotide small RNA is filed under the name Kluyvera sp. Nf5. RNAcentral's name for it is "partial RtT sRNA". It matches the Rfam family "RtT RNA", at positions 1 to 99 of the family's 130-position model. Rfam says of the family: This family represents a bacterial cis-regulatory element known as RtT RNA. Lineage: Bacteria; Pseudomonadati; Pseudomonadota; Gammaproteobacteria; Enterobacterales; Enterobacteriaceae. The record is from RNAcentral.
AUUCUCCCCAUGCCGGGAAGGGUGAGAACCUUCGACUAAGGUUCGAGUCGAGCGAAAGCGAGACAACGUUGCCGCAGGCAACGGCCCGAAGGGUGAGGAGC